UCCCUGGUGGUCUAGUGGCUAAGACUCCUCGCUCUGAAAUGCAGGGGGUCUGGAUUCGAUCCCUGGCCAGGGAA
This 74-nucleotide transfer RNA is filed under the name Bos taurus (domestic cattle). It matches the Rfam family "tRNA". From Rfam's summary of the family: Transfer RNA (tRNA) molecules are approximately 80 nucleotides in length. The record is from Rfam by way of RNAcentral. Lineage: Eukaryota; Metazoa; Chordata; Mammalia; Artiodactyla; Bovidae. RNAcentral also lists the same sequence under 2 other names.